UACGUAGGGUGCAAGCGUUAAUCGGAAUUACUGGGCGUAAAGCGUGCGCAGGCGGUCUUGCAAGACAGAUGUGAAAUCCCCGGGCUUAACCUGGGAACUGCAUUUGUGACUGCAAGGCUUGAGUAUGGCAGAGGGGGGUGGAAUUCCGCGUGUAGCAGUGAAAUGCGUAGAGAUGCGGAGGAACACCGAUGGCGAAGGCAGCCCCCUGGGCCAAUACUGACGCUCAGGCACGAAAGCGUGGGGAGCAAACAGG
RNAcentral lists this ribosomal RNA (253 nucleotides) under uncultured bacterium. Its description in RNAcentral is "partial 16S ribosomal RNA". It matches the Rfam family "Bacterial small subunit ribosomal RNA", at positions 524 to 776 of the family's 1533-position model. The record is from RNAcentral.